Molecule: long non-coding RNA, 781 nt
Organism: Myiozetetes cayanensis
Lineage: Eukaryota; Metazoa; Chordata; Aves; Passeriformes; Tyrannidae
Exons: 4
Source: RefSeq, a predicted model, not a curated record
GUCGGCCGACCGGGCGGGUGCCCGUUUUCGGCCGCCUUUUUUUUUUUUUUUUUUCCGGGGGGGAAGUUUUUCCCCACGGGACACCUCGCGGAGGACGACUGAGGGAGAGAGACCAACCCAUCUCAGAGCGAGGGUCUGUCAGCUGCCAAAUAAAGAAGAUGGAGGAACCUGCCCACACAAAAGACUUGUAAACCAGUAAAGGGGUGCUGUCUGGAGCAGAGAUGAGGUCAAGAAGGUCAGUGCAGGGUUGGAUUUUAAUUUGGCAAAGGAUUCGGAAAAUAAUAAUAAGGGUUUUUACAGGUUUCUAGAAGUGUGUUGAACAGAAAAGAAAAUGCAUACACCACACCCUCCACACUCUCCUGAUAAGUGAGACGGGGAACUAGAGGCAACUGUCAUGAAGGAGGCUGAGGCAGGGCAGCUUCUCCAAAGCCGUACAAACAGAUGUCGGCCCCGGACCAGAAGUCCUCCAAGCCCACUCUAAAGAUGGCGCUGCCGAGACCGGAAAUCAUCCAAGGCAGCACUAAAGAUGGCGGCCCCGGAGCGGAAGUUGCAGAAAGCCACAUCAAAGAUGACACUGCCCACACCGGGAGUCCUCGGAAGCCACGCUGAAGAUGGCAGAGUGAGGCUCCCUGCCUCAGAGAGGCAACUACCCUAUUGCCUGAGCUCCACCCCGUCCCCGACCCCCACCCCACGCUCGCAGCGCCGUCUCGCCGCGGUGCUUCCCACUAUGGGGACAGGGCGGGGCAGCGGGACAGGGCGCUCGGCAGCGCCGGACGCGGGC